This is an unclassified non-coding RNA of Myotis lucifugus (little brown bat), 315 nucleotides long. Its record names the gene 7SK. It matches the Rfam family "7SK RNA". From Rfam's summary of the family: 7SK was discovered as an abundant small nuclear RNA in the mid-70s but a possible function has only recently been suggested. Two independent studies have found that 7SK RNA binds the CDK9/cyclin T complex (known as elongation factor P-TEFb). NCBI's taxonomy places the organism in Eukaryota, Metazoa, Chordata, Mammalia, Chiroptera, Vespertilionidae. The record is from Ensembl.
GGAUGUGAGGGCGAUCUGGCUGUGACAUCUGUCAUCCCAUUGAUCGCCAGGGUUGAUUCGGCUGAUCUGGCUGGCUAGGCGGGUGUCCCCCUCCUCCCUCACCGAUCCAUGUGCGUCUCUCCCCAAGCUGCGCGCUCGGUCGAAGAGGACGACCUUCCCCCCCGAGGAGAGGACCGGUCUUCGGUCAAGGGUAUACGAGUAGCUACGCUCCCCUGCUAGAACCUCCAAACAAGCUCUCAAAUGGGAGUUCCAUUUUUAGUUUUUUGAGGAAACUCCAUACUGUUCUCCACAGUGGCUGCACAGUCUGCAUCCCAU